Non-coding RNA from Triticum aestivum (bread wheat), 125 nucleotides. Lineage: Eukaryota; Viridiplantae; Streptophyta; Magnoliopsida; Poales; Poaceae. The record is from Rfam.
GACAUACUCCCUCUGUCCCGAAUUAUUUGUCAUAUAAAUGGAUAAAAAUGGAUGUAUAUAGAAUUAAAAUACAUCUAGAUACAUUUAUUUCUUCGACAAGUAAUUCCGGAUGGAGGGAGUACAUC